GUGAGGAAUAUUGGUCAAUGGGCGAGAGCCUGAACCAGCCAAGUCGCGUGAAGGAAGAAGGAUCUAUGGUUCGUAAACUUCUUUUGCAGGGGAAUAAAGUGCGGGACGUGUCCUGUUUUGUAUGUACCCUGAGAAUAAGGAUAGGCUAACUCCGUGCCAGCAGCCGCGGUAAUACGGAGGAUCCGAGCGUUAUCCGGAUUUAUUGGGUUUAAAGGGUGCGUAGGUGGUUUGAUAAGUCAGCGGUGAAAGUUUGCAGCUUAACUGUAAAAAUGCCGUUGAAACUGUCGGACUUGAGUGUAAAUGAGGUAGGCGGAAUGCGUGGUGUAGCGGUGAAAUGCAUAGAUAUCACGCAGAACUCCGAUUGCGAAGGCAGCUUACUAAGCUACAACUGACACUGAAGCACGAAAGCGUGGGGAUCAAACAGGAUUAGAAACCCGUGUAGUCC
Molecule: ribosomal RNA, 445 nt
Filed under: uncultured bacterium
Lineage: Bacteria
Description: partial 16S ribosomal RNA
Rfam family: Bacterial small subunit ribosomal RNA
Source: RNAcentral